Molecule: ribosomal RNA, 301 nt
Filed under: uncultured bacterium
Lineage: Bacteria
Description: partial 16S ribosomal RNA
Rfam family: Bacterial small subunit ribosomal RNA
Source: RNAcentral
CAGCAGCCACGGGAACACGUAGGGUGCGAGCGUUAAUCGGAAUUACUGGGCGUAAAGCGUGCGUAGGCGGUUUGUUAAGUCUGCUGUGAAAUCCCCGGGCUCAACCUGGGAAUGGCAGUGGAUACUGGCAAGCUAGAGUGUGUCAGAGGAUGGUGGAAUUCCCGGUGUAGCGGUGAAAUGCGUAGAGAUCGGGAGGAACAUCAGUGGCGAAGGCGGCCAUCUGGGACAACACUGACGCUGAGGCACGAAAGCGUGGGGAGCAAACAGGAUUAGAUACCCGCGUAGUCCCUGUCUCUUAUAC